UGCAUGGUUGUCGUCAGCUCGUGUCGUGAGAUGUUGGGUUAAGUCCCGCAACGAGCGCAACCCUUGUCUUUAGUUACCAUCAUUAAGUUGGGGACUCUAGAGAGACUGCCGGUGAUAAACCGGAGGAAGGUGGGGAUGACGUCAAAUCAUCAUGCCCCUUAUGACCUGGGCUACACACGUACUACAAUGGCGCAUACAACGAGCUGCAAGAUGGUGACAUCAAGCGAAUCUCUUAAAAUGCGUCUCAGUUCGGAUUGGAGUCUGCAACUCGACUCCAUGAAGUCGGAAUCGCUAGCAAUCGCGGAUCAGCAUGCCGCGGUGAAUACGUUCUCGGGUUU
RNAcentral lists this ribosomal RNA (338 nucleotides) under uncultured Erysipelothrix sp. RNAcentral describes it as "bacterial SSU rRNA". It matches the Rfam family "Bacterial small subunit ribosomal RNA", at positions 1042 to 1381 of the family's 1533-position model. The record is from RNAcentral. Lineage: Bacteria; Bacillati; Bacillota; Erysipelotrichia; Erysipelotrichales; Erysipelotrichaceae.